AACGCACCUUGCGCUCCUUGGUAUUCCGAGGAGCAUGCCUGUUUGAGUGUCAUUAAAUUCUCAACCUUACCAACUUUGUUGUCUGGUAAAGGCUUGGAUGUGGGGGUUUUGCUGGCUUCGUCAAGAGGUCGGCUCUCCUUAAAUGUAUUAGUGGGGUCUGCAUUGUCGGCCCUUGGCGUGAUAAGUUGUUUCUACGUCUUGGAUUUUUGGCGCUGUACACCUGCUUCUAACCGUCUUCAUUGACAACGAUGGUGUUCCGGUCGCCGCCGAUUUUUCGGUGGGAGGCUUGACCCACGAAACAAACCUUGACCUCAAAUCGGGUGAGACUACCCGCUGAACUUAA
RNAcentral lists this ribosomal RNA (343 nucleotides) under uncultured fungus. RNAcentral's name for it is "eukaryotic LSU rRNA". The stretch from base 1 to 52 matches the Rfam family "5.8S ribosomal RNA", at positions 103 to 154 of the family's 154-position model. Lineage: Eukaryota; Fungi. The record is from RNAcentral.